RNAcentral lists this ribosomal RNA (85 nucleotides) under uncultured fungus. RNAcentral's name for it is "partial 5.8S ribosomal RNA". It matches the Rfam family "5.8S ribosomal RNA", at positions 72 to 154 of the family's 154-position model. Rfam says of the family: 5.8S ribosomal RNA (5.8S rRNA) is a component of the large subunit of the eukaryotic ribosome. The record is from RNAcentral. Lineage: Eukaryota; Fungi.
UUGCAGAAUUCAGUGAAUCAUCGAAUCUUUGAACGCAUCUUGCGCUCCUUGGUAUUCUGAGGAGCAUGCCUGUUUGAGUGUCAUU